RNAcentral lists this unclassified non-coding RNA (233 nucleotides) under uncultured fungus. RNAcentral describes it as "sequence contains ITS1". The record is from RNAcentral. Lineage: Eukaryota; Fungi.
GUAUUUCAUUGCGUUAAACGCGACAUACAUUCCAUGAGACUUUUUUGUAGUGUGUGUGUAAAGACGUAGAGCCACAGCAGGAGGGCAGAGCCCCCCAGGCCAUAGAACUACAGAGGGUGCACAGGUGUAAGUGGAUGUGUAAACAGAGCGUGCACAUGCCCCCCAUACAGGGGCCAGCAACAACUCCUGUUGACAAUUCGGUAAUGAUCCUUCCGCAGGUUCACCUACGGAAA